GGGGUAGUAGCUCAGUUGGUUAGAGCGCCUGCCUGUCACGCAGGAGGCCGCGGGUUCAAGUCCCGUCUAUCCCGCCA
Molecule: transfer RNA, 77 nt
Filed under: Opitutales bacterium
Lineage: Bacteria; Pseudomonadati; Verrucomicrobiota; Opitutia; Opitutales
Also listed under: 6 other names
Description: tRNA-Asp
Rfam family: tRNA
About the family: Transfer RNA (tRNA) molecules are approximately 80 nucleotides in length.
Source: RNAcentral